Molecule: unclassified non-coding RNA, 334 nt
Filed under: soil metagenome
Description: partial contains 5.8S ribosomal RNA, internal transcribed spacer 2, and large subunit ribosomal RNA
Rfam family: 5.8S ribosomal RNA (bases 1-120)
Source: RNAcentral
GAUGAAGAACGCAGCGAAAUGCGAUACGUAAUGUGAAUUGCAGAAUUCAGUGAAUCAUCGAAUCUUUGAACGCACAUUGCGCCUGCCAGCAUUCUGGCGGGCAUGCCUGUUCGAGCGUCAUUUCAACCAUCAAGCCCCAGGCUUGCGUUGGAGCCCUGCGGCUGCCGCAGCCUCCUAAAAGCAGUGGCGGGCUCGCUAUCACACCGAGUGCAGUAGAUUACUCUUCGCUCAGGGCGUGCAGCGGGUUCCGGCCGUGAAACCCCCUACUUUUAAAGGUUGACCUCGGAUCAGGUAGGAAUACCCGCUGAACUUAAGCAUAUCAAUAAGCGGAGGA